CAGCAGGAAGAGACGGCUGAAGCGAUUCCUCUGACCCUCCAGCGGAGACAGGUGGCUGAAGCGGUUCCUCGGACCCUCCAGCGGAGACAGGUGGCUGAAGCGGUUCCUCGGACCCUCCAGCGGAGACAGGUGGCUGAAGCGGUUCCUCGGACCCUCCAGCGGAGACCGGUGACUGAAGCGGUUCCUCGGACCCUCCAGCGGAGACAGGUGGCUGAAGCGAUUCCUCGGACCCUCCAGCGGAGACAGGUGGCUGAAGCGGUUCCUCGGACCCUCCAGCGGAGACAGGUGGCUGAAGCGGUUCCUCGGACCCUCCAGCGGAGACAGGUGGCUGAAGCGGUUCCCCAGAACCCCCAGCAGGAACAACAGGUGGCUGAACGGGCCCCUCGGAGCUUUCAGCAGAGACAGGUGGCUGAACAGGCCCCUCGGACCCUCCAGCAGAACCAGCUUGCAGAACAGAUGAAGUGGGUGUGAUGUCAGAAUGUCCAGAGUCAAACUGCUCAACAGUUCUGUUGUGGCGGCGGCCAGAACGCCGUUUCCUUCGGGAUGAGGAAACAGGAACCGGUGGAGAAAAAGAGACGACCUCCUCAUCCUCUGACCACAUAGCUGCCAGGAAAAAGGCAGGUGAACGAGAACCCAGCUGGUGUGGGGAGGGAGAGGAAGUCCGUGGCAGCGUUGAAACAGAAGGAGAGUGUGCGUUGUCCUGGAGUAACGGUGGGGAAGAUGUAGAGAGAGAGAGAGCAAGCUCACCAGCCUUGACUUGCUCUCUCCAGGCAGUAAUGGUGUCGUCCAACUUAGUGUCCUUAGCAAACUGGCUAAGCCGGGGAUUAAACCGAAUGAUGGCCUCCACCGCACUCAGCCCCACUGCCAUGGUCCUCAAGUCAGGGGACUGGGCGAUGCGGUCAAGCAGGCUCACCAUCCGCUCCAUCUCAGUGUUGUACUCCGAGGAAAAAGAGUCUGCGGGGUCCAUGUUCUGGUCGCGAUCUUCUGUUAGGUGAGGCUGUGUGCAGGCAGUAAUUGGACCCAAAGUGCAGACUCCGGAGACAGAACUUAAACGAAAACAGCUUUAAUGCUGAACUCAACUCAAACAUAACAUAACUGGAAAAAGAUCAAAAAUAAACUAACACCAGCGGAUUGACAGAACACACAGCAAAAUAAACGGUAGAUCGCGACACAGACACCAAGAAACACAGGGC
Molecule: long non-coding RNA, 1193 nt
Organism: Astatotilapia calliptera (eastern happy)
Lineage: Eukaryota; Metazoa; Chordata; Actinopteri; Cichliformes; Cichlidae
Source: Ensembl